Sycon ciliatum is the source of this 1792-nucleotide long non-coding RNA. RefSeq lists it as uncharacterized. The transcript is spliced from 6 exons. Lineage: Eukaryota; Metazoa; Porifera; Calcarea; Leucosolenida; Sycettidae. The record is from RefSeq and is a predicted model, not a curated record.
CGCACGCGACCAUGUACCACGCGUGCACGAGCGAAAAGAACUGAAUCCAAUCAUUGAAAUAAUUUUGUUUGCAGAGGCAAUUCACGCAAGGGAGGGAUAGCAAUUUGAUGGCUUGCGAGUGACAGCACGAGCCGAAUUUAUUGCCCGUGGAAGUACCCACGAUAGGAAUACACUGUUGGGAACAUGGUGGCGCCGCUGACGGUACCUAUGUAAGUGGAAUUACUUUAUUGGAAGUACCCACGACGGGGAAAAUAGUCUCUCUAGUAUUGUCGGUGAAUGGUGAUGGUGGUGGUGGCGAUGGCUACUUUCCUCUGCUCAGAGAGAACCCCUGCAUGUCCUUCGUCGUGAUGCAAAAGAGCAGUGGAUGCAGAAAAUGUCUCUACCUGCCAGGAUGGUAAAAGAGCACGAACUGAAUCACCUGUUGGUGCAGAAGGCUUGGAGGACUGCUUUUGAAACAGUUGUUCAAAUUUCCUGCACCUCUUCGUAGCCGUUGUCUGAUUGCUGCAUUCUGGGGAGACUGAAGUUAAGAAGCCCUCACCGACACCAACACUAUGUCGCUGUGUUGUUUUCUUCCAAGGUCGGGCACAGUAAAGGAGACGACUCUGUAUCAAGACACUACCCAGAGGGAGGAUGUUGGCCUUCUCCUGAUGGGAAAAUGUCUUCUUUCUUAUGGCGUGGCCAGGACUGCACUGACCCUACCAUCCACUCUACCUCUCCGGAAAGGGACUUGACAACCAGUCAAGAUGGAAGUGCAGAGAUAUACCAGCGCUUCUAGCAUUAACUGCCAAUUUGCACUGACACAGCAAGACUCCCCAACAGUCAAAAAGAAUAAUAUAGACGUGCAGAAAAUGUAGGAGAGCGAUGACAUCAGAAGGACACUCUCAGGUUCAGGGUACCUGUACUGCCCCAAUAAAGUGGGUCAGAUCCCAAAACGAGGUUGGCCGAAGCAAAAAAAAUAGAAGAGCCUGCCUUGAAUUGAAUAUGAGGAAGAAGAAGAAGACAAAGAAAGAGAAAGAGUAGGAAUUUGUUUGUGUAAACUUUGUUUCCUCUGUCUAGGCUGCCAUCGCAUUAUAGCAGCCAACAGUGUGUGUGUGUGUGUGUGUGUGUGUGUGUGUGUGUGUGUGUGUGUGUGUGUGUGUGUGUAUAUGUGUGUGUGUGUUUGCGUUUGUGUGCACACGCUUGUGUGUGUGUGUGUGUGUUUGCAUGUGUGUAUAUUCUGCUAAUCUUGACUUAAAUUUCCGUAUCUGGGCAUAUUGUGUUCUGUAUGUGAAUUUAUCUUCAUUCCCGUAGCUAUGCAGAAGACGUUACUUCAGUAACGUCUGGCGCUAGCCAGGGUCCACACAGCUUUAAUUUGGUAUUUGUGUGUUUGUUUGUUUGUGUCACGCCUGGCGCUAUCCGUAUCUGACGGCAAAAAAAGCAUAGGGACGUUAUAAAUUUUUCAAUUCUCCUAUUUUUUCAGGCAUAUGCUGGGAUUCGAACCCGCACUAUCGCCCUACAUGCAUUCCCCCAUACACUUCGCAUUCAUACCCAUUCUUCCAAGUUGCUUCACGUUAUGAUCUUGCGUUUGAAAGCCCUAUUUGAAUAUUGCUGGCAGCUAUAUGUGGCCAGCUGUGUUUGAUGGUACGGUACGGUACGGGAGACGGUGUCGUAUUACCGUCGAUCGUACCUGUCCCGUACCUAUCCCCUACCGUACCGUGCCAUCAAAGACGGCUGGCCACAAUGCAUAUUCAAAUACUAGUAGGGCUUUCAAAUGCAAGAUCACAAUGUGAAGCAACUUGGAAGAAUUAGUAUG